UACGGCCAUAUUUCGUUGAAAUACUUGUUCUCGUACGAUCACGUAAGUUAAGCAGCGUCGAGUUUGGUCAAUACUUAAAUGGGUGACCGCUUGGGAAUACCAG
Non-coding RNA from Acanthosepion pharaonis, 103 nucleotides. Lineage: Eukaryota; Metazoa; Mollusca; Cephalopoda; Sepiida; Sepiidae. The record is from the annotation of a GenBank genome assembly.